RNAcentral lists this ribosomal RNA (445 nucleotides) under Rieppeleon brevicaudatus (bearded pygmy chameleon). RNAcentral describes it as "partial 16S ribosomal RNA". It matches the Rfam family "Bacterial large subunit ribosomal RNA", at positions 1923 to 2596 of the family's 2925-position model. The record is from RNAcentral. Lineage: Eukaryota; Metazoa; Chordata; Lepidosauria; Squamata; Chamaeleonidae.
CUAAACGGCCGCGGCACCAAAACCGUGCAAAGGUAGCACAAUCACAUUGUCCCUUAAAUGAGGACCCGUAUGAAAGGCAACACGAGAGAAAACCUGUCUCCUAAGAUAAGCCAGUGAAAUUGAACUGCCAGUACAAAAGCUAGCAUGCUAAAGCAAGACAAAAAGACCCUGUGGAACUUUAAUUAGCCUGUUUACAAAACUAAACAGUAGUUUUAGUUGGGACAACUAUAGGAAAAAUUAACCUCUAACCGCUCUAAGACCAACAAGUCUAAGACACCAAAUGACCCAGUCACACUGAUUAAUGAAAUAAGCUACCCCAGGGAUAACAGCGCCACCUUCUCAAAGAGUCAAUAUUAACAAGAAGAUCUACGACCUCGAUGUUGGAUCAGGGCACCCCGACGGUGCAACAGCUGUCAAAGGUUCGUUUGUUCAACGACUAACGCCC